Molecule: ribosomal RNA, 453 nt
Filed under: uncultured bacterium
Lineage: Bacteria
Description: bacterial SSU rRNA
Rfam family: Bacterial small subunit ribosomal RNA
Source: RNAcentral
UUCGCAAUGCCCGAAAGGGUGAACGAGCGACGCCGCGUGCGGGAUGAAGGCCUUCGGGUUGUAAACCGCUUUUCUUAAGGAAGAACUUAAUGACGGUACUUAAGGAAUAAGAGGUUACUAACUCUGUGCCAGCAGUAGCGGUAAUACAGAGACCUCAAGCGUUAUCCGGAUUUAUUGGGCGUAAAGCACGGGUAGGCGGGAAUAUUAGUCAGAUGUCAAAUCUUCGAGCUCAACUCGAGAACUGCAUUUGAAACGGUAUAUCUAGAGAGUGUGAGAGACCAGUGGAACUCAUGGUGUAGCAGUGAAAUGCGUUGAUAUCAUGGGGAACACCAAAGGCGAAGGCAUCUGGUUGGCGCACUUCUGACGCUGAGCCGCGAAAGCGUGGGUAGCGAAUGGGAUUAGAUACCCCAGUAGUCCUAGCCCUAAACGAUGGGCACUAAGUAGAGGGGUUUU